Molecule: non-coding RNA, 1255 nt
Organism: Arachis ipaensis
Lineage: Eukaryota; Viridiplantae; Streptophyta; Magnoliopsida; Fabales; Fabaceae
Source: RefSeq, a predicted model, not a curated record
UACCAAAUAGACAACGUUACUAAAGUUUUAAGUUUGAACGCAUCUUCUUUGCAGUUCAUUUUCUUCACGAUCGAGAUCGAAUUUCUUUCUCGUUCUCUUCUGAAUCAAGUUUAUCUAUCCAAAUUAAUUUCUUUCUCGUUCUCUUCUGAAUCAAGUUUAUCUAUCCAAAUCAUUAACCUCAAUCGGUUCAUAUUCUUAUUCUCGAUCAAGGUUUUGCGAUUUCAGCGUGAUUUGAAUCAUUCUCGAAAUUUUGAUUCGCUUCUCGAUUUCGAUCUCAAUUUUGGAAGAAAGUGGUGAGGAAGAAAGGAUUAAGGAUUGAUCUUCAAAUUUGGGAUAGUUUGUUUGAGGUGAACUACGAGUAGAACAUGUUUGUGAAUUUGUCUCAGUGAAUAUAGGCUGAAACUCUCCUUCAAUAUUUGAGAGAAUCAAGACAAGAAGCAUCGUCUUCAAGUUCUUAAAGUGGAGUUAUUACUACUACUACUACUACUUAGGAAGUUGGUACUCUAGGUUCAUAUGCACCAACAGCAGCUUCAUGGCCGAAAAAGAAGAUCCAAAAAGAAUUUAAUUUUUUGAGGUUUAAGCAAUCAAGUUUAGUAUUUCAUUGUGAACGCAUUGAGGGAGGGCAUACAUGCCAAGAAUGUUUUCCAGGCCUCACACGGUUAUUGGCACCGCAUUGAGCAUAGUUUUUGUGUCUAUCCUAGCAGUGCAGACUAAUAGAUAAGGAAGAUCUGUUUAAAUUACUUGGUGAGAAACAUCAGCUCUAUGAAUUUCUGGAUACAUUCUACAUGCAAUGCUCAUAUAUUCUUUUCAACAAGGAGCAUGUCAAAGCUAUUCUUUCAGAAAUUGUUAAACAUAAAGCGGCAGAGAAUGAACAACGGAUACAGUCUUACAUGAAUAUGUUGGUGGUUGUAGAGAGUCCUGUUGAUUCUGCAUUGUUCCCGGAUAGGGCACCAUUAUCAGUACUUCAAAAAUGUGAGGAAUUUUCUAGUUGCUGUCCAGUUAUAUAAGAGAAUGAUAUGGCUGCAAAAUUAGUAUGUUAAUUGGUGUUAUCUUGUGAUGUUAGAUGACAAACAUGGAGCACUUGAAUUCCUCAAGUUAAUAUUAGCAUGAAUUUUAUUAUUUUAUUGUAAAUACUUGUAUGCAGUCGAACUGAUCUUUACUAUAGAGAAAGUUUGUGCAAUGUAAGCAUAUCGAAGAAAUAGGAAAAUUGACUUAUUGAAUCAAUUUAGUGUUUAAAUAUUUUGGAUUUAAUUUA